AAGGGCACCACAAGAACGCGUGGAGCAUGUGGCUUAAUUUGACAACACGAGAAAUCUUACCGGGUCCGGACACACUGAGGAUUGACAGGUAUUAUUGCAGUUCAACUGCAUGUUAAAUAUGCUAGUCCUUUCAUGAUUAUGUGAUAGGUGGUGCAUGGCCGUUCUUAGUUCGUGGAGUGAUCUGUCUGCUUAAUUGCGUUUCACUAAGGGUUUAUUUUUAACUUUAAGUUAUAUAUUUUGACCCCUACUUUAAUUAGUAGUGUGUUUUGUCAACUUUAUAAUUUUAUAAUACAACCCUGAAAGCAACGAACGUGACC
Molecule: ribosomal RNA, 317 nt
Filed under: Foraminifera environmental sample
Lineage: Eukaryota; Foraminifera
Description: SSU rRNA
Rfam family: Eukaryotic small subunit ribosomal RNA
Source: RNAcentral